Molecule: ribosomal RNA, 463 nt
Filed under: uncultured bacterium
Lineage: Bacteria
Description: partial 16S ribosomal RNA
Rfam family: Bacterial small subunit ribosomal RNA
Source: RNAcentral
GACGAACGCUGGCGGCGUGCUUAACACAUGCAAGUCGAACGGUAAGGCCCCAGCUUGCUGGGGUACACGAGUGGCGAACGGGUGAGUAACACGUGGGUGACCUGCCCCGCACUUCGGGAUAAGCCUGGGAAACUGGGUCUAAUACCGGAUAGGACCGCACCGUGAGGGUGUGGUGGAAAGUUUUUCGGUGUGGGAUGGGCCCGCGGCCUAUCAGCUUGUUGGUGGGGUAAUGGCCUACCAAGGCGGCGACGGGUAGCCGGCCUGAGAGGGUGGACGGCCACAUUGGGCCUGGGGAGCGGCCCGGGGCCCUACGGGGGGAAGCGGUGGGGAAUUUUGCAAAAGGGGCGGAGGCCUGAGCGAGGGACGCCGGGUGGGGGAUACCGGCCUUCGGGUUGGAAACUCCUUUCCCCAUCAACGAAGGUUUUUGGACGGUAAUUGGGAAAGAAGCCCCGGCAAAUUACGG